GGUCGGGUAGCUCAGUUGGUAGAGCACGCGCCUGAAAAGCGCGGGGUCACCGGAUCG
RNAcentral lists this transfer RNA (57 nucleotides) under Actinomycetes bacterium. Its description in RNAcentral is "Actinobacteria bacterium tRNA-Phe". It matches the Rfam family "tRNA", at positions 1 to 55 of the family's 71-position model. Rfam says of the family: Transfer RNA (tRNA) molecules are approximately 80 nucleotides in length. Their secondary structure includes four short double-helical elements and three loops (D, anti-codon, and T loops). Lineage: Bacteria; Bacillati; Actinomycetota; Actinomycetes. The record is from RNAcentral.